CCCCGCAAGUUUACAAAAACAUCUCCCUAUCCUCAAGGGUAAACCCUGCCACCAUCGGAAGUAGCAAAAUUAAUAGCCGCUUAAUUAGCGGAUCGUCUGAAAGGGCAAACGAGGG
RNAcentral lists this ribosomal RNA (115 nucleotides) under Pterosagitta draco. RNAcentral describes it as "large subunit ribosomal RNA". Lineage: Eukaryota; Metazoa; Chaetognatha; Sagittoidea; Aphragmophora; Pterosagittidae. The record is from RNAcentral.